Molecule: long non-coding RNA, 18966 nt
Filed under: Vitis vinifera (wine grape)
Lineage: Eukaryota; Viridiplantae; Streptophyta; Magnoliopsida; Vitales; Vitaceae
Description: long non-coding RNA (VVIN_LNC000120)
Source: RNAcentral
CUCAUCAAAGUAUGGGACAUUUCCUUCAUUUCAUUUCAUCGUUAAACUUUUAUCCAAAUUUAUACAAUACGAAUACAAUUAUACAAGGAAUCCAUUUGCAUUUCUUACCCCAAAACUUUUACCAUUUCUUAACUGAUCAUCUUCCAGACUCUACGGUACACUUGUUAUGGUAAUAACGAGGAACAAGAUAUCCCAAGCCAACCGCACCACAUCUUUCUCUUCACCUUCAUUCCUCACCAAGCUGCUUAGCUAACAGAUCAACAGGUAAGGAACCCAGUGGAACUGGUGAUUCCAUCUCUUCCAAUGACUCAUUCACCAAGUAUUCAUCAUCAUCAUCAUUGUACAUCUCAUCUUCACUAUAAUCCUCACUAUUAUAACCUUCAUGCUCUGCCUUUGUACCACCAGUUCCAUCUUCACUUGACAUCACUAAAGCUGGAUAGGAGUGCUCGGUGGCCUGUGAAAUGCCUUCGAAUUCCUCUACUACCUUCAAAAGAGCAUCCGGACCAAGACCAAUCUCAUCCAGCAACAAUGCUUUGCUCGACUCAAUUGCACUCUUCCACAGAGACAUCAUUUUAGGGCUUGCGCUCACUGCUUUAGUAUCCAGUCUAUGAUGGUUGCUCUUGGGAACGCCUGCCAAACAAGCAAGAAAAGAAAAAAGGGGACAUGGAACCAUCAAAAUGGAAUCCAAGCUACAACAUGGUAGUAUGAGUCAUCUGGUCGUAAAUAUUAUCAAGCAGUGGCAUGGAACAAUGGACAAAGGCAGCUUGACAAUCAAGCAUGAUUGACAAGUGUUACUAGAAAAAAAAAAUCCUUUUGGACUGAAAAGGAUGAAAUGCAUGAUUUCUAAUGGUAUGUUUUUAAUCUCCUGCAAUUCUUUGUUGCUCUUAUAACAACACACCAUAUCUUAUUGGGAGUGUGAGAACAAUUUCUAUCAAAUGAAAAGAAGUUUUCCCCAGAUACAAAAGUUUAAAAUUAUGAUUCAAAAACUUGAUAAAUAAAGAAAAGGAGAAUAAAGGAGCGUUCCAUAGAGAAAGUGCCCUACUAGCUAGGAUCUUUUAAAGAAAAACAGUCAAAUUCAAAAAUAUUAUCCUUGGGAAUGCAAUUUCCAGGAAACUGCUUCUCUUGCAAGUAGUGACAUCUGACAAGAAGCCCAAAAAACAGGAAUUAGGGCAUACCUGAACCUUCCAAGCCACUUGCAACAUCAGCAACAACAGGAAUGAGGAAAGAAGGAGCUCCUUGGUACAUUGAUUUCCAACCAUGUCCCCUCCAUGUUAAUAUCUGUUCAUCAUCAAAAGAAAGUAGCACACAAGGAACCGAUUCCUGUCCAGGGUUGAGAGGAAAAAUGUUAGAAGACAGCGGCAACCGUGUAAGCUGAAAACAAAGCAUAAAUAAACUACUGCAACUAUGGGGUUCAGAAUAUAAAUCUUGUCCAAUCAAUCCAGUCAAUCAUGUGAAGAAUUAAACCUUCAGUCUAAACACUCUGAUGACUUACAAGAACAGAAAGUUAAACAAACCUUAAGCUUAGCACCUAUCUUUUUGUAAUCACUUGCAUGCAUCCCUUUACAGUCAAUCUUCACCAAUGGACUUCCUUCAAAAGCAUCCCUCACAUCUUUCACUAAGGAAAUAUAUACUCCAUUUUUCACUGCAUUCUAGAGAAAUAUGUAAUCAGAAUGCACCUACUAGUAAUGGACAACAUAACAUAAGCUGAGCUCAGUAAGGGUGCAUACAUAUUAGUAGGACUGGAAAAGAAAUUUUGAGCAAAAUGAUUUUCCACAUGAUGGUGCAAAUUCAUAUUUUAUUUUAUUUUGUUUAUGUUUUUAUAGGUAACUCUGUUUCAUUCCCUGCUAAGACCUGAAGUUGGAACCUCUCACAUCCCCAACCUAGGCCCUUGCCACUUUUAACAUGUAACAAAUUUUAAGCAUUGAUUUGAUAUGUAAAAGUACAUAUAACUGGGAGAGAGCAUGAUUGAAUUCAGAAGUUUAAAGUGUCACCUGAAGCAAAAGGGUAGCUACCCAGAAUAGAAUAUACCAAUCAGUUGAGACCAUGUCUUACAUGGUGCAAUGACAAUUGAAAAAUUAAGGGCAUAUUUGGCAUCGGUUUCCAUUCCUGCUUUACUGUUUCCGUUUCCAAAAGAGUGAGAGUUUUGCUAAAAACAUGUUUGGGUCCACCUGUUUUGUUUUUGUUUUUCUGAAAACAAUUGCCAAAUAUGUGGCAAUUUAAGGUAGUAAAAACAGGAUGUUUAGGAAAAGGAAAAAGUAAUAUGCUUGGAAUAUGUCACUCUAUCAAGUGUGUGUGUGAGAGAGAACAAAAUAAAAUGGUAUUUGAAUUCUUAACGUGAUAUUCAAAUCCAGGCAAAAUAAAUUGGUAAAGAACCAGUGGUGGAUGAUUUACCUAAUCGACAGAUUGGUAUAAGAUUUUCCCCUUCAUUCGCAACUCGUCAGCUUCAAAUUUUGUCAAUCCUUCUGGGGCUUCUUGUAUGAGUUUUGGAUAAACAGGAGCAGCUGGUUUCCAGAGCAUCACUGGGUACUGCGGACGAGUACGAUAAUUGUAGUUUCUGCCACGAAAAAGAUAAACUACACCACCAACUCGAUGAAUGAUUUUACCCCCAGUCUUUUCCUGGAAUUGUGAAGAACACUAAAGUGCAAACCAAACAAAAAAUUUAUCUAAUUUUCAUAGUUAAUAAUGGAGAUGUAGGAUGUUGUUUCACUCUGAUUAUUAGCUGGAAUGGCACAUUGACAACAGAAAAGUUAAAAACUUCAAACAGGGUGUUUAUUAUGGGAUUUUUUUUCAGGAGACCUUAAUCACAUGAUAGGUGAGGUCUUCUAGUUCAAGGGAACAAUGGAAUGGAGUGAGAAUUGAAAGGGGUUGGAGAGAAUGACAAUAGACCCAAAUGGCAGACUCAAAGAAUGAGCUUCUGAAACGAAGAGUUAGUUAUACCAAAGCCAAUUAGUAGGAGUUUCUUGAAUAAAAAUCAACUACAUUGAUAAAUCAUAUGAACCAAUACGACAACACCGUGUGUAAAUGGAUUAAUAAAAUGACACCAUGUGCAUAAUCAAUUGAUCUUUCAGGACGAAGAUCUGGUGGUAUGGAAACAUGUCCCGAGAGAUAGUCUACCCCUUCUCUUGUUCCCUUUGAGACCUACUCAAUAAUAUAUGGCACAAUCCCACUUGGGGGAACCUCCAACUCUAGCCACCAAAAUAAAAACCAUCCCAUACACUCGAUGGAGCCCACUGCAACUGGGUAACAAACUUAACUAGGUUUCCUUUGGCUAUGCACGAAACUUAAGUAAACAAGAAGCAUCUAGGUGUUAUGCCACAAGGCAUUUUCAAUACAUGUAAGAGAUAUUUUUCUAUGAUGAUAACACACUUGGAGUCCACUUAGCAGUGCUUUUAGAAAACAUUUCUAGUAUAAAAAGUGCUUUUGGAAAAAUUAAGGCAUUUGAAAAAAUUUAGAAAGCACUUUAAAAAAAUUGAAAAAUCACCAGUACUUCCUAGAGAAGCACUUGAUGAUUAAUCCUCCCAAAAUUUUCUAGCUUUUCAAAUAGAAACACUCUCAAACAUACUCUUAGGAGUUAGGAUCAUUUUGGGGGAGUAUGAAGACAACUACUGGAGAUAUCUUUUUAAUGGAAUAAGAAGAGGCCAAUGAAGCCACCAAGAUGAAAUGGUGGAAAUGGGGAAGUGACCUCUCAUGCCACAUUAGCAUAUUGGAGCCCUCCUCUAUUCACCCCAUGAUGUGAAUGCUUUUACCUUGAGAUGAGUAGAAGAUAUCAGGGGCCAUCUCUCCUUUGUUAGAGUAAUAAAAGUAGUGGCAGACUUGAUAAAGUAGCAUCAAAGUAGCCAAAACAAUCAACACAAGGAUUACUAGAGCAUGUAUGGCAUUAAUAUAAGUAUGGUGCUACUAAUUGCAUGACUUCUACAGGUCAUUAAUCUUGUGUAUCAUGACAAUUUAAGUAUUUAACCAUAGGACCAAAAGUCUCAGUCAAAUUAGGUAUCAACAAAGGAAAUACCAGGUGAGUUAUUAUGAGUAAUUCAAGAUCCUUAUAAACAUUUAUAAUCCAUUUAUUUGCAUGAAAAUAUACAACAAAUAUUAUCCUGCAAGACUUUGGCCAGGUGAAAGAACAGGGUUUAAGAGGAACAACUGACUUCCUACCUCUACAAGAAAUUUCAGAAAGGGCUCCGCUUGUGCCAUGAGUGGCUUGAAACAUUUAUUUUAGUGAUAUAUACCAUAGAGAAGUUCUUACACAGAAGCUUAAACACCAAGAGCAUGCAUACAUGGCUAACACAUAAGGAGCAUUGCAGACAUUCAAGAUAGAACAAUUAGAUAUAGUGUUGGAAAUGAAAACCUCAAGAUGAUGGCAAACAUUAUCCAUGUCAAUUGUCGGAACACCUUUGCACCAAACUUUACAAACUCGUUGACGCUUCCAAUGUGAAUGUAUCAACUCCAACAUAUUAUGGGUUAGCCCAUCCCUUCCUACACCAUUCAAUCAUAAACAAUCAACAAAACUCCAACAUGUAUACAUCGUGCAUACUCUCUUUUCUCUUUAAUAUAUUUUCAUUUACUUACAAAAAAAAAUCAACAAAACUCCAGCAUGUAAUUAAGCCAAUGGAAGUACUAACUAGAUAACAAUAAUUUUACAAUCUCAUACCUACAACAAAUUUUCAGAGGAAGAAAAGCAACAUGAAUCACUGAAAUUGAAGUUCAAAAUACGGAUAACUCACCGAGAUUAACCUGGCGAUUAUGAGACAAAUAGGGUUUAACAAGCAUCCGUAUUUCUGCCUUGCUCAAUGGCUCUCCGAGUAUCUCCUCCCUCGUCCUCCCUUCCACGGGAAACUUCCCAAGCGGAAACGGCCCUGGCAUUUCCACACGCUUCACCCCCUUGGUUCCCGGCGGAGGCGGAUUAAAGGAAUCAAAGAGUGGAAUCUUCUUCUUGGAUUUCUUCAAUGGCGCCUUCCCAGUCCACGGCCUUGGCAUUGUGGGCGGAGCAAAGGGCAAGAAUGCCGGCUCCCGGAUUGCCAAGGGCUUAGCUUUGGGGGUCUCGGAGUAACUGAACUGGAACUCGAAUGGUGCUCCAGCGAGGAGAUAUGACACGCCGGAUUCGCCGAUGACGACGGAGCGGUCACCAUCCGAUGCGAUAACGCCAUCGGAGACGGGCUUGUAAUAUUUGGAACGGUGAUGAACGGUUUUGAAGGCGGGAGUGGAGGGUUUAGUUGGAGGUCUUGGGGACUUUUGGGAUUUGAGAGGUGGUGGGUAUUUGGGAAUUGGGAUGGGCGGCUGAGGAGGUGUUGAUGUGGUGGAGGCAUUUGGAGGAGGGCCUUGAGGGAGAGAGGAGAAGAGGCUAGAAGAACCUGGUAGUGUUGCCAGAAUCACCAUCGAAGAAGGCUUAAUUCAUCUGAUGACACUGAAAGUUCGAGUUUUCUUCUGGUUUUUCAGUUUUGGGGAGCCAACAGAUAUAUCUUAGGCUGGGACAACGGUGAAACGACGUCGUUUUUCCCAGUUUAAAGGAUAUGCCAAUUUUCUUAUCAUCGGAGGUGUCCAAAGCCCGCAUCCGCAUCAACCCUCGUAGACUCGCAGCUCAGCGCUAGACAAACUCCACUGUAUAGUAAAUGGCUCUGUUCAACAUGAUUAUCAUCUAUAACCGCCCUUUUUCUGUUGGCCUAUUCAUACUUAGAUGAUAUAUGGAUGCCAUGAAUCCACUGUGAAUUUGUCAUCAUUUUGUUUUCAUUUCAUUUUCGACCAUGGACGUGGUAUUUUUUUGAGAAUAAUGUUAAAAAGUGUGAUUAACUUUUUUCUGUCCUAUUUUUGGGUGUUUCGUAUGGUGUUGGAUUAAUUUUACCUUUUGUGAUUGGAUUUCUAGUCUGGAAAAUCUGCCAUUCCCAUUCCUCAAGGAUUUUGGAAUUUAUAUUCACCAACCCAAUUUGACUCUGUUCAUGUUGCUCUUUGACUCAUCUUGUCCUGUCAAUUCCUUUGCAGUGAAGAUGCUUAGAAAAAUAGCUUAUCUUCUGGUGGGGAAUCUGCCAAAUUAUUUUUAAUCAGAGUAGUCUUUGUUUUAAACUAGUACAACUUCUUGCUAGUAAGAUUUUUUUCCACUUAGAUGUGGGUGGAAGACUACCUGGUUGAUCAAUAUUUGUCAUUAUCCGAUACCUCAAAAGCAAUUAUCAUCUUCUCUAGUAAUCUUCAACCACAAACAAUUUGGAAAAGAGUAAGAGCCUAAGAGAGAAUUUAAAAUGUAUGAGUUAAGAGGCAUAAAGAGAAUUUUGAAUCGAAAUUGCCAAUACACAAUGAGAAUUUAUUGAUUGGUUUGGCUUGUGAAUGAUAUUAUAAUUCAUCAUCAAUUAAUAUUGUAUAAGUCCAUAAUAUUUGACCACGAUGGAGUGGUAAAAUAAUUUAUAUUUUGAAAUAAUGAUUUUAUGUAAAAAGUUUAUAUUAAAUAUUACAUUUGCAAAAUAUUAUGAAAUAUUAAUUGAAGUUAAAGAGUAGUCUUUAAUUAGACAAUUAAAUCCAUAUUUUACCAAUUAAAUGGACCUAUGAUGACAGAUUAAAUAAAUUACAUCAUAAAGUUAAAAUUACAAUCAAAUAGCACCAUUAUUAGCGAAACUUCAACUAAUCAUUUUGUAAUAUGAUCAAAAUUCAAUAUUUAUUGAAUAUGAAUGUUGUAAAAUAGUUAAAUAUGAUUGACUAUUUAACUUUUUCAUAUGGAUUCAUCUUCAUCCUUUCGUCCUCUGCUGCUCUUCUUCAUUCCAUUCAAGUGAAAACACUUUGUCUCGUCCAAAUGAAAACAAAAAUUUCUUUUUCAUUAUUACAGGAGAUAGAACAAUAGGAACAAUAUAGAACUACUUACCGUUCGUGACCCUUAGACACAAGGGUCACUCACUCGUUUACCAAAAGGGAAAUAUAUAUUCUAAUUUCUAUAGUCAUUCCUUACCAUUUGUGCCCCAUAGGAACAAUAAAUAUAUAUCUUUAUUUUGAUUAAAUCACUACCAUUGAAAUUUUGGUUUUUAUAGAUGAUAUUUUAUAAAUAAAAAUAAAUUUAAUAAGGCAAAUUAUUAAUAAUUUUAAUUAUUUAAAUAAAUUAAUAUUAAUAGAAAAAGUUGUUACCACAUAUUUUUAAUAAAAUUUUAGAAAUUAAAUCUCAAAAUAAAUAUUUUAUAUAAAUUAAUUUAAUUUUUCAUUUAAAAUGUAAUAAAAUUACAUUUACAAAAUAACUUUAAAAUGUGUAUUCUUAUUUAUUUUAUCAUUUUUUGGCGUUUUUCUAAGCAUUUUUAUGAAUUUUAAAUAAUUUUUGCUCCAUUGAUAUUUAUGAAAAAAUAUCCACCGAUAUUUGUGAAAAAAUAUCCGCCGAUAUUUUUUCAAUAUUUUCAAUAUAUCCAUAAAAUCGAAAUACUGAUGUAUGCGUAGUUACCGAUAUUUUCAUUUUCUUCAUAAUUUGAAUUAUUAAUCUUUAAUAGUUUUAUUGGGAAAAAAGUCAUGAAAUAUCAUCAAUAUAUUAUUAAAAUAAUUUAAAAUUUUUGGACAACUUAGAUGUUCUCCAUUUUUUUCUAUAUGAUAAUCAUAUGCAUGAAUUUGAUUUAUAUUAAUUUACCUAUUUUUAUAUGAUUAAAUUUAAAUAUUUUAUCUCACAAUGCUUAAAUUAUGAAUUUAUAAUAGCAUAAAAAAAUUAAUUAUAAUUCAUUGUUACCUUUCCCUUUAAUUUUCUACUCUAAAAAUCAAUAAUUUUAAAGAAUUAACUUAUCAUUACCAUUUUUGACAAAAUAAUUUUUUUUUAUAGAAACUAAACAAAUGGAAAGAUAUUCUUGUAUAAAAAAUAAUUUUUUUUUAAAAAAAAUAUUCUUAUUUCAAUUAUUAUUUUAUCAUGUAAGGUCUACAAUUUUAUUUUUUUAAAUAAUAUUUUAAUCCCAUUUAACUUUGACACAAAUAAUUUUUACUAAUAUCUCUUUAGAAUUAUAAAAUAAAAGAGAUAAAGAUACAGAAGUUACCCUUGAAAGGAAUUCUAUGUAUUAGGAAAAGAAAUUUCAAAAACUUUUGAUCAAAUCCAUUCCUUUUAAAAAAGAAAUUUUGGGAUUUUGGGACUGAAUUAUUCUCUAUUUUUAUGGAAAUUGAAUGGAGAAAUAAUAAAAUUUAGAAAAUCGGGAAACUAGGAUGGGAAGGAAAGAAACACAAUAAAAAGGGAAAACGAGAGAAAGAAACAAAGGGUGGAGGAAAAAAAAAGAAGCUUUUUGGAGUCUUGAUUUUUCUUCUGCUUUCAGAGUAAUCCUUCUUCGUUAUCGCUGAUCAUCAGCCCCGCCGCUGCAAUCGCUGUUCAUCAGUAGCACCGUCGCCACUGCAGCAGAAAUCCAACCCUGACAGGUUUUGUAUUUGGUUUUUAGUUGUUAUUUUAAAUAAAAUCCACACAAUGGAGUAGUCCCAAGAACGUAUUGAUACGUAACAAACAUACUUCUUGCUCUUUAUUUAUUUUUUAUACUCGUUUCUUUCUCUUUCCACAGAAUGAGUUAUACUGAUUGGAGUAAGUUACCAAAAGAAUUAAUAGAGCUAAUUUUCGAUGAGCUAUAACAUGCGGGAGACAUAAUUCGGUUUGGAACUGUAUGUAGGUUUUGGGGUUUGGUUGCUUUGGAGGCAAGGCAACAAGUCUUCAAGCCUUUGAGACCUUUGAGUCCGAUGUUGUUACUGCCUCCUAAUAAGGAUGAUGAAGCCCACAAACUCUAUGAUUUCUUUAAGAAGAAGGCUUAUAAAAUUCAAAUUCCAGCUAUGCGCGAUAAAUGGUGUUGCAACUCAUGGAAUGGGUGGUUAAUCGCAAUCAAUCACACUUUCCCUUAUGAAAUAUGUUGUUUAAAUCCGAUUUCAGGUGUGCAAAUCGAUCUACCUCCGGCAAUAACUUUUGAAAAUUCUCCCCCUGACCUUGAUGAAACACCAAUUGAAUUUUUCUUGAACAAGGUUGUUCUGUCUUCUACUCCUUCUCCUUCAAAUGCCAAUUGUGUCAUUAUGGCUAUUCAUAGUAAUUAUAACAAAUUGGCAUUUUGCAAACUGGGUGAUAAGCGGUGGAUUACUUUAAAAAGUGAAGAUAUUCAAUAUAAGGACCUUUUAUAUUAUAAGGACAAUUUUUAUGCAAUAGGAAGGUCGAAAGUUGUACAAUGUGAUAUUGGCGAUGAUCCAAGGGUUAUACCAUUCGCACUACUCCCUAAGAUGGGAUACUUUCAGUAUAGAUAUUUAGUAGAGUCAUCCGACUGCCUUCUAUAUGUGUUGAGAUAUAUGGAUUUGAAGGAUCAAGAAGAUCCUUUAAAGUUGCGGUAUGAAACAACAGGUUUUAAGGUAUUUGAUUUGGAUUCGGAUAAAAGGAAGUUCUCAUAUCGGUAUGAAACAACAACAUUUAAGGUGUAUAAUUUUGACUUCGAUCAAAAGAAGUGGAAGCUUUUAAAAAACAUAAAGGAGAAGGCCCUAUUAUUAGGGCAUAACCAAGCUAUUUCGAUAUCUACUAAAAAAUUUGAUGGAUUUAAAAGCAAUCAUAUCUACUUUUUGGAUGACUAUAAGGAAGGUUACUUUGAAAAUACAUAUGGUUGCCAUGAUAUGGGAGUUUUUAACAUAAAAACUCAUCUCUUUAAGCCCAUUUUUCAUCGUACUCAAUUGUGGGCAUCUCCACUAUUUUGGAUGAGACCUGAACUUUCUUUACAUUGAAAUAUUGUACUACCGUUGUUAUAUUUUAUAAUAAUUCUUUUUUAACCUUUUAUAUUUCUUGUAAUAAUUUUUGUCUUUUUAUUUUAAGUAUCUAAUCUUGUUUUUUUUUUAGUGGGGAUUACCCUCUUAUGUGCAUAAGGUUUUUGGAACUCAAAAACCCAAUUAUGUCAUAGACUUCAAUGUUUGAAGGUUGAGAAAAUUUGUGGUGUAUUUUAGAAUUUGUAUGACUCUAUGAUAAAUGAUUUAUUAUGUAUUCAACUAAUUUAUAAUCAUAAAUUAAAUUUAUAUGAUAGCUAAUAAAAUUAAGAAUGUGAAAUCCAGUGCUUGUGUCAAAUAUUUAGCAAUACAUAUUUUGCAAUUUUUAUUAUGCAUAUUAGAUUUUAUCAAUUCUUAAUAUAAAAAAUAUAUAUAAUAUAAGAUUAUUGUUAUGCAAUUUUUUUUUUAAAGUUGAAAACUAUGGGUGCAAAUUGGGUGAAUUGGUCUAAUAAAACCUGAAUUAACCUAAAUAUUUUACAUUAUAUUUUUGNNNNNNNNNNNNNNNNNNNNNNNNNNNNNNNNNNNNNNNNNNNNNNNNNNNNNNNNNNNNNNNNNNNNNNNNNNNNNNNNNNNNNNNNNNNNNNNNNNNNNNNNNNNNNNNNNNNNNNNNNNNNNNNNNNNNNNNNNNNNNNNNNNNNNNNNNNNNNNNNNNNNNNNNNNNNNNNNNNNNNNNNNNNNNNNNNNNNNNNNNNNNNNNNNNNNNNNNNNNNNNNNNNNNNNNNNNNNNNNNNNNNNNNNNNNNNNNNNNNNNNNNNNNUUUACCAUUUCUUAACUGAUCAUCUUCCAGACUCUACGGUACACUUGUUAUGGUAAUAACGAGGAACAAGAUAUCCCAAGCCAACCGCACCACAUCUUUCUCUUCACCUUCAUUCCUCACCAAGCUGCUUAGCUAACAGAUCAACAGGUAAGGAACCCAGUGGAACUGGUGAUUCCAUCUCUUCCAAUGACUCAUUCACCAAGUAUUCAUCAUCAUCAUCAUUGUACAUCUCAUCUUCACUAUAAUCCUCACUAUUAUAACCUUCAUGCUCUGCCUUUGUACCACCAGUUCCAUCUUCACUUGACAUCACUAAAGCUGGAUAGGAGUGCUCGGUGGCCUGUGAAAUGCCUUCAAAUUCCUCUACUACCUUCAAGCUGUGGUUUCCCCUAUUCUUCACAUUUGUUCCCUCAAAUUAAUUGAUUAGGCCUGAUCACCUGGAUAAUCCCAGAAAAAAUAUUGCCCACUUCCUUUAUUUUGGGAAAAAAAUGUGGUUUGUCCCACUGUUGCUUCCAAUAUCUCCUCACUAGCCUUGUGUCUUAAUGGAGAACAAUCCUUCCAAAAUGGCCUUUGAAACAGGAUAAAUUAGAAAUUCCCUCAGUUUUUCAGUUUUUCUUCAAGGAAAUAGACUCAGUUUGGUGUCUAUUCAAUUAUUUUGUUCAGUAAUGCUUUGUAGUUUUUACAUUUUAUUAUUAAGUUUUGUGAGACUAAUGAGAUUAUUCAUCAGACAUAUUACUCUUACACCAUACAAAAUGGAAUGGCAGAGAGGGAAAAAAGAGAUUUUGUGGAAUUUAUCUAUUUACUUCUUUUUCAUAUGCAGGUUUCAAAAAGGUUUCGAGAAGAUGCUGCCCUGAUGGGUUGUUUUCUUUUAAUUGUGUCCCAUUGAGUGUCAGUGGUAAUAACUCCUAUUCAGAUACAUGUGCUUUUGGCAUAACGAGUCAGUAGGUUCAGAUAAGUUUUCUUCUUGAGCCACAAAGCGUCAUCUUUGAGCAUUCCACAUCUCAAAAGGUAACAAAUAUUGCAAGUAACCCUAUGUUUUGUGAAUGCACUAAACAUUGUCAUUUCAUUCAAGAUGUAGUGAUGAAAGAUUACGUAGGCAUUGAAAAUUUUUAUACUACAUCUUGAGGAGUAAUGAAGUUUAUAAAUGAGGGGAUUAUUGUACUUUUUGUAAUAAGGUUAUCAUGACUCAUGACUCAUGAGAGUGCAGCGUAUAUAUUUUGCUGCAUCUCUAUUUUUCAGAAGAUUAAUCAAAUUUAGAGAACAUCACCUCAUCUCUUCUUCUUUCACCUUUUCUAACAAAGGUUUUGUUGUAUUUGUGAUAGAGGUUUAAUAUUUCCAAGUUUUAUUGUGCUUAUUUAAUUUUUCUCGGCCGAUGAAGCUCAGAAUUAUGAAUCAAUAAUAAGAAACUGGAACAAAGAAACCAAACAAGUCAAUGGGAUUAAAGAAUUUAUGCUUGCAAAGUUCAGCUUGAAACUGUUGCCAGUAAGAAAUGGAACUAGAAUAAGCCAAAAGACAAGAUCAGUGAGCAUCACAGCACCUGCACACAUCUGUUCACCAAAGAAAAAGAAAGCCAAUGACAAAGAAAAUUUUCAACAUUUUGCUUCUUAAGUAUUGAAACCAACCACCCAAUAACAAAAUUAUACUCUUAAUGUCUAAUUUCAUUUCAACACCAAAAGGAAAUGGAGAAUCUUUAGUGAAAAUACAAUCAAAAGUAUCAAUUCAGCAAUAAAAAAUCAGGAUGUGUAUGAGCAAUAUAAGAGAUGGGAGUAUGACUGCAAGAAAAGGUUUAGCAGUCAUAAGGUUAAUAUAAUCAAUCACAGGCACUGAUGUUUAUCCGCACUCUAUCAAGUGUAUCCAUAUUUCAUAGGUUUGGUGUUGCAAUGCCCCUUGGUCCAAGGCUCCAGCACUUCAAUAUUUUCAAAUGGAAGUUCGUAAAAAUUUUCUGGUCUACCAGUAACUAUGAGUGCUUGGUUUUUGUAAACUCAUAUAAAAGCUAGCAAGAUUAAGACAUUAGUUGUAAGUCAAAUUUUGAAAUGCAAACAUACACCAACAUAUCAACCCUGUUAUAGCCUACAAUAAAACCUAGUUAUAUGAUUGUGCUUAAGGGACUACAUGGUUUUGCAUUAGGAGGCAUAGAAAUUUAUACGGUUUUAUCCAUCUGUAGUUUGCCAAAAUGUAAUUCUUUGCUAAGUUAGAUUUAUCUGGAACUCAAAUUGCAAUAUUAAAUAUGAAGAAUGAGUGUUCAUGGAACUUAUUUUUUCAUGAAAAUGUUAUAAAGUUCAUUAUUUGAGCAUAUUAAAAUUUUGUGCAUCCGCAUUUUUUUUUUUGCCUUUUGCCUUUCCUGUAAUAUACAAAAAUAGAUAUUUAUAAACAACAUAAAACACAACUUGGUUAAGUUAAUGAGAAGGGUCCAGCUCUCUGGCCUCACUGAUCUCCAUCAACAUCUGUUGUACUAUAAAGAAGAGAAAAAUGAACCAAUUACUAACAUGGGUUUCCAAAUGUAUGAGAUCAAGCAUACAGAAUACAGUAAUUCAUAAGCAAAUAUUGGGAAAUGAAAAAGAAACCAGGGAGCAAAGAAAUUUUCAUUUGUUGUUUUCCCAUAAAACUGGCAUCUUAUUAUUGGGAGAAAGUUUACCUGAAAGAUAAUCUGAAAUGCGUAAAUCCACAUUCUGGCAGUUUUCCGAACAUGAGAUUGCUCAUAGGUACCAAAGUUCUUGGACAUGUUGGAUGUAUUAGCAUUUUCCCUGAGUGUGGGAGCUAUGUAGGAACCUUGCUCUGCAUCCCAACCCUCAUAAUCAACCCUAUCAAUACCAGCUUUAUUGCGAUAUAGGCGAUAUCCACAAAUGGAGCAAGAAGUUCCGAGCUACAAAUUGAGGAUGAGAGCAUAAGCAACAUAUACAAAAAUAAUUGAGGUACACUGAAAACUUGAAAAUUAAGGAACCAGUAUACAACAAAAAAUCCAUCCAAAAUAAAAAAAUUGAGAAAUAAAUCAACUCUUAUUUUGGGACUCAACACACCUCUGGGCAACAGAAUAACAAUUAAUUCCUAUUUAACAUCUAUGAACAAGAAGAUUUAAAUAGGAAAAAAAAAUCAAGUUGCUUGAGUCCAUAGAAUAAAACAAAGGACAAAUUCGAAUAUCUCUAUCAAAUUUUACACUACAAUACAUAGAUAGAUUCAGCCCAGAAGGCUGUAACAGUUAAAAGAUUAUACCGCAAAAUAGAUGGUGACCAAUGCAAACGUCCACCUGUUCAGAAGAAGAAAACAGAAAAGAAAAACACCAUUUACUUCAUAAGAAAUUUCUCCAAACCGGGAUUUGUUCGAUGAGCACAUCAUUUCCACCUUAUGAGUAUAGAGAUGAACCAAUAAAGGUAGAUAACUUACUGAGUAUAAAAGUAAAAUAUACCACCUCCAUCAAUUACGAUGUUGGCAGUGAGCAAUGUGAAUAGAGUAAUAAAAGCAAUCAUUCGAUAACCAAGAAGGCAACCAGGAUGGAUUUCUUUCAGACAUGUACUCCAAGUUUCAUCCUCAUACAGAGACCCUGCUGUUUCUUUCUGAUUUUCUCUUCUCCUGGCUUUUGUUUUGUUGAAACCUUCAUAUUUCCAUACUAAUAUUGAUGCUACAAUCAUCAUUGAUAAGAGCCAAAUUGCACAGAGGAAGAACCUCCAGUUCAACCAAUAACUUAAGGAGGUUGUAUCGUCAGCCAUGAUUGGCUGCCAGGAAUGCUUUGAGGAUCCUGUCAAGAAAUUCAUGGUGUUAGUUCUACUUGCUGAACUGGUCAAUCCAUUUUCAGGAAAAUCACUGAUUCAUGUCCACAUCCUUCUUCCGGAAGGAAAAGUGAAAUACUGUAUUGGCUUUACUUUAAUCAAAUACAGACAAUUUGCAAAUGAAUGAUGUGUCAGAAAAGGUGUUUGGAAAAUGUUCACAGUUCUGAAAAAGAUUUAAAAAGAAAAAAAGAGCAAGAAAAAGGAAAAUCUUUCAAACAAUAUGCAUAUGGCUUUUUUGUUUACAAAGGACACUGGCAGGCUUGUCAAUGACAGGAAAAACAGAACCCUAACCAUCACCACAAACGAAUUUCCGCAGGAUGAAAGCAUCUAGUUAUAGUCAAAACACCGAAUCCAAGGGAAGUCUUAGAGGAAUAACCCUAAAUAUCGAAUUAUCACAAAAAAAAAAAAAAAAAAAACAACAACAGCUGCAAAAUAUGGAAUUAUAUUGAAAUCAUAUAUAGAACCUCCCACAAAAAUGAAAUAACGGGAGUCAACACACUGAACAAACCAAAAAAAAUUAUCGAACAAGAAGAAAGAAGUAUCAAUAAAUAGUAAUUGGGAGAGGAACCCAUAUCUCAAAAUCCCAUCACAGCCACCAUACACGAAAGUACAGCUCGCUUAUGGACUCAACCCUUUCCAAUUCCCGUAAGACCCGUCAAUUCCAAGGGGAAAGAAAGGGUGUGUGAGAAUGUUUACGGUUCAUAAUGAAUUGAAUUACCUUUUCAAAUGAGAUGCUGUGGUUGGAGGAAUGAAGAUUGAGCGUAGAACCCUUUACCCCUGUUCUACUUCUAUGCGAUAGAAAGAGGAAUUACUUUAUUUGUUUUUCCUGUUUUUGCUUUGAAUUAGGAGGGAGUCCAGUUUGCCGAGAAUUUCAUUAAAACGCGUAUCCAGUAAGGACUCGUUUGUUAGCAGUUAGCACCCGAUUUCUUUGAAUUUACCGCCCAUCCAAAAAGCAGGAUGUUCUCGAAUUUUGAUUUAUAUUAAUUUACCUGUUUUUAUAUGAUUAAAAUUCAAUAUUUUAUCUCACAAUGCUUAAAUCAUGAAUUUAUAAUAGCAUAAAAAAAUUAAUUAUAAUUCAUUCUUACCUUUCCCUUUAAUUUUCUACUCUAAAAAUCAAUAAUUUUAUCAUUACCAUUUUUGACAAAAUAAUUUUUUUUAUAGAAACUAAGCAAAUGGAAAGAUAUUCUUAUAUAAAAAAUAAAAAUUUAAUUUUUUUUAAAAAAAAUCUUAUUUCAAUUAUUAUUUUAUCAUGGAAGGUCUACAAUUUUAUUUUUUUUAAAUAAUAUUUUAAUUCCAUUUAACUUUGACACAAAUAAUUUUUACUAAUAUCUCUUUAGAAUUAUAAAAUAAAAGAGAUAAAGAUACAGAAUUUACCCCUGAAAGGAAUUCUAUCUAUUAGGGAAAGAAAUUUCUAAAACUUUUGAUCAAAUUGAUUCCUUUUAAAAAAGAAAUUUUGGGAUUUUGGGACUGAAUUAUUCUCUAUUUUUAUGGAAAUUGAAUGGAGAAAUAAUAAAAUUUAGAAAAUGGGGAAACUAGGAUGGGAAGGAAAGAAACACAAUAAAAAGGGGAAACGAGAGAAAGAAACAGAAGGUGGAGGAAAAAAAAAAAAGAAGCCUUUUGGAGUCUUGAUUUUUCUUCUGCUUUCAGAGUAAUCCUUCUUCGUUAUCGCUGAUCAUCAGCCCCGCCGCUGCAAUCGCUGUUCAUCAGUAGCACCGUCGCAACUGCAGCAGAAAUCCAGCCCUGACAGGUUCUGUAUUUGGUUUUUAGUUGUUAUUUUAAAUAAAAUCCACACAAUGGAGUAGUCCCAAGAACGUAUUGAUACGUAACAAACAUACUUCUUGCUCUUUAUUUAUUUUUUAUACUCGUUUCUUUCUCUUUCCACAGAAUGAGUUAUACUGAUUGGAGUAAGUUACCAAAAGAAUUAAUAGAGCUAAUUUUCGAUGAGCUACAACAUGCGGGAGACAUAAUUCGGUUUGGAACUGUAUGUAGGUUUUGGGGUUUGGUUGCUUUGGAGGCAAGGCAACAAGUCUUCAAGCCUUUGAGACCUUUGAGUCCGAUGUUGUUACUGCCUCCUAAUAAGGAUGAUGAAGCCCACAAGCUCUAUGAUUUCUUUAAGAAGAAGGCUUAUAAAAUUCAAAUUCCAGCUAUGCGCGAUAAAUGGUGUUGCAACUCAUGGAAUGGGUGGUUAAUCACAAUCAAUCACACUUUCCCUUAUGAAAUAUGUUGUUUAAAUCCGAUUUCAGGUGUGCAAAUCGAUCUACCUCCGGCAAUAACUUUUGAAGAUUCUCCUCCUGACCUUGAUGAAACACCAAUUGAAUUUUUCUUGAACAAGGUUGUUCUGUCUUCUACUCCUUCUCCUUCAAAUGCCAAUUGUGUCAUUAUGACUAUUCAUAGUAAUUAUAAGAAGUUGGCAUUUUGCAAACCGGGUGAUAAGCGGUGGAUUACUUUAAAAAGUGAAGAUAUUCAAUAUAAGGACCUCUUAUAUUAUAAGGACAAUUUUUAUGCAAUAGGAAGGUCGAAAGUUGUACAAUGUGAUAUUGGCGAUGAUCCAAGGGUUAUACCAUUCGCACUACUCCCUAAGAUGGGAUACUUUUAGUAUAGAUAUUUAGUAGAGUCAUCCGGCUGCCUUCUAUAUGUGUUGAGAUAUAUGGAUUUGAAGGAUAACGAAGAUCCUUUAAAGUUGCGGUAUGAAACAACAGGUUUUAAGGUAUUUGAUUUGGAUUCGGAUAAAAGGAAGUUCUCAUAUCGGUAUGAAACAACAACAUUUAAGGUGUAUAAUUUUGACUUCGAUCAAAAGAAGUGGAAGCUAGUAAAAAACAUAAAGGAGAAGGCCCUAUUAUUAGGUCAUAACCAAGCUAUUUCGAUAUCUACUAAAAAAUUUGAUGGAUUUAAAAGCAAUCAUAUCUACUUUUUGGAUGACUAUAAGGAAGGUUACUUUGAAAAUACAUAUGUUUGCCAUGAUAUGGGAGUUUUUAACAUAAAAACUCAUCUCUUUAAGCCCAUUUUUCGUUGUACUCAAUUGUGGGCAUCUCCACUAUUUUGGAUGAGACCUGAACUUUCUUUACAUUGAAAUAUUGUACUACCGUUGUUAUAUCUUAUAAUAAUUCUUUUUUAACCUUUUAUAUUUCUUGUAAUAAUUUUUGUCUUUUUAUUUUAAGUAUCUAAUCUUGUUUUUUUAGUGGGGAUUACCCUCUUAUUAUGUGCAUAAGGUUUUUGGAACUCAAAAACCCAAUUAUGUCAUAGACUUCAAUGUUUGAAGGUUGAGAAAAUUUUUGGUGUAUUUUAGAAUUUGUAUGACUCUAUGAUAAAUGAUUUAUUAUGUAUUCAACUAAUUUAUAAUCAUAAAUUAAAUUUAUAUGAUAGCUAAUAAAAUUAAGAAUGUGAAAUCCAAUGCUUGUGUCAAAUAUUUAGCAAUACAUAUUAUGCAAUUUUUAUUAUGCAUAUAAGAUUUUAUCAAUUCUUAAUAUAAAAAAUAUAUAUGUAAUAUAAGAUUUUUGUGAUGCCAUUUUUAUUUUUUUUUUAAGUUGAAAACUAUGGGUGCAAAUUGGGUGAAUUGGUCUAAUAAAACCUGAAUUAGCCUAACAAAUUAAUGAUAUUUUACAUUAUAUUUUUUAACAUAAUUAGAAGAUGCAUGCUAAAAAUAUUAUCAUGGUUAAAAAUAAUAUUGUCUUUUACAAACAAUUUAUCUUAUACACUUGCAUUAUACAAUAAAAAUUAUAAUGCUAGUGAAAUUGCCCAAAUUGAACAUUUCCUUUAUUUCAUUUCAUCAUUAAACUUUUAUCCAAAUUUAUACAAUACGAAUACAAUUAUACAAGGAAUCAAUUAGUCAAAUAAAUUUGCAUUUCUUACCCCUAAACUUUACCAUUUCUUAACUAAUCAUCUUCCAGACUCUACGGUACGCUUGUUAUGGUAAUAAUGAGGAACAAGAGAUCCCAAGCCAACCGCACCACAUCUUUCUCUUCACCUUCAUUCCUCACCAAGCUGCUUAGCUAACAGAUCAACAGGUAAGGAACCCAGUGGAACUGGUGAUUCCAUCUCUUCCAAUGACUCAUUCACCAAGUAUUCAUCAUCAUCAUCAUCAUUGUACAUCUCAUCUUCACUAUAAUCCUCACUAUUACAACCUUCAUACUCUGCCUUUGUACCACCAGUUCCAUCUUCACUUGACAUCACUAAAGCUGGAUAGGAGUGCUCGGUGGCCUGUGAAAUGCCUUCGAAUUCCUCUACUAUCUUCAAGCUGUGUCUUCCCCUAUUCUCCACAUUUGUUCCCUCAAAUUAAUUGAUUAGGCCUGAUCACCUGGAUAAUCCCAGAAAAAAUAUUGUCCACUUCCUUUAUUUUGGGAAAAAGUGUGGUUUGUCCCACUGUUGCUUCCAAUAUCUCCUCUCUAGCCUUGUGUCUUAAUGGAGAACAAUCCUUCCAAAAUGGCCUUUGAAACAGGAUAAACUCUUGGGCUUUCUGUUUGGAACUUUGAAAGAACAAUCAAUAGGGAAGAUUCUUUGUUCAUCUUGUGACAAUCAACAGGGAAGAUUUUUUGUUCAUCUUGUCCUUCCUGCUAUCCAAAUGGAGCCUUUAAGUUGUGGAUGUCCAUCUUUUUUACUACCUUGUUGAUUUUGGCUGUAUCCACUAUGGAUGUAGGAAUUAUAGACUUGGAUCCCACAAUGGUCCCCUACUCCAUUAUCUUCUUGUAAAGGUAGCUUUCCUGCUAAGGAGCUCUUCUUCUGUUUAAAGAGUUUCUUCUCUUGUUACCC